UAGGGAAUCUUCCGCAAUGGGCGAAAGCCUGACGGAGCAACGCCGCGUGAGUGAUGAAGGUCUUCGGAUCGUAAAACUCUGUUAUUAGGGAAGAACAAAUGUGUAAGUAACUAUGCACAUCUUGACGGUACCUAAUCAGAAAGCCACGGCUAACUACGUGCCAGCAGCCGCGGUAAUACGUAGGUGGCAAGCGUUAUCCGGUAUUAUUGGGCGUAAAGCGCGCGUAGGCGGUUUUUUAAGUCUGAUGUGAAAGCCCACGGCUCAACCGUGGAGGGUCAUUGGAAACUGGAAAACUUGAGUGCAGAAGAGGAAAGUGGAAUUCCAUGUGUAGCGGUGAAAUGCGAAGAGAUAUGGAGGAACACCAGUGGCGACGGCGACUUUCUGGUCUGUAACUGACGCUGAUGUGCGAAAGCGUGGGGAUCAAACAGG
This 429-nucleotide ribosomal RNA is filed under the name Bacteroidota bacterium. RNAcentral's name for it is "Bacteroidetes bacterium partial 16S ribosomal RNA". It matches the Rfam family "Bacterial small subunit ribosomal RNA", at positions 355 to 776 of the family's 1533-position model. Lineage: Bacteria; Pseudomonadati; Bacteroidota. The record is from RNAcentral.